RNAcentral lists this ribosomal RNA (393 nucleotides) under uncultured bacterium. Its description in RNAcentral is "partial 16S ribosomal RNA". It matches the Rfam family "Bacterial small subunit ribosomal RNA", at positions 523 to 918 of the family's 1533-position model. The record is from RNAcentral.
AUACGGAGGAUCCGAGCGUUAUCCGGAUUUAUUGGGUUUAAAGGGUGCGUAGGCGGACGAUUAAGUCAGCUGUGAAAUGCCCGCGCUUAACGCGGGAAGUGCAGUUGAUACUGGUUGUCUGGAGUGCCGUUGCCGUGGGGGGAAUGUGUAGUGUAGCGGUGAAAUGCAUAGAUAUUACACAGAACGCCGAUUGUAAAGACACCCCCGGAAGUGGAAACGGCCUCGUAGUCACGAAAGCGUGGGGAUCGAAAAGUAUGAGACGCCCGGGUUGCCCACGCAGAAGAGGAUGAUCGCUAGCCUGGGCCGAUAGUCCGCCGGUGGCCAAGCGAAAGCGAUAAGUCAUCCGCCUGGGGAGUACGACCGCAAGGUUGAAACUCAAAUGAAUUGACGGGG